Molecule: long non-coding RNA, 700 nt
Organism: Gossypium raimondii (Peruvian cotton)
Lineage: Eukaryota; Viridiplantae; Streptophyta; Magnoliopsida; Malvales; Malvaceae
Exons: 3
Source: RefSeq, a predicted model, not a curated record
UUGUAAAAAGUGCAAAAGUUGAGUUCUACAUGUUAGAGGUGUCCAAUUGUUAUGAAACUUUAAAUUGGAGGUCCUUAUAUGGUAAUUAUACCAUUGGUAACUUGGUAGACAAAAAUGGACAUGAGAUAAGUGAAAUAGAAAAUUUUUAAGUUAGGGGCAAUUUGGUAAUCUAGUAAUUAAAAUGAAUUAAAAGGGAAAAAGAUGGCAAAAAUCAUCAUCUUCUUCAUUAGGACGAAAUCAGCAAGGGGGGAAGCCAUAGUUAGGGUUUUCAAGCUUCCAAGCUCCAUAAUCAAGAAGUACGAAACUCGAGGUUAGACAAAGGGAAGAAUAAAGUUGAAGACUAAGUUGGUGAAUUUGGCUAUAAUUGGUACCGAGUAUUGCAAAGCUACUUCAAGGAUCCUAAAAAAGUCGGAGAUCGUCCACACUAUCAACCACAACUGCUCGGUAUUUUAUAUCGAAACACGUUUGAGUUAUGGCAUGUAUAGGGAUUUAGUCAUUUUGUAUGUUUGUAAUGAUGAUUUUGCUAAUGAGUGAUGUGUAAGUAUUUGAUGAUGUAUGGUCAUUAAAAUGGUUAAGGAUGAAGGUGUUUGUUGUUAUGAAAGAUUAGGUGAUAAAUUAUGCAUGGAAAUCAUGAAAGGAUAAAAUUUUGCAAAGAAACAGAAUUCAGGCAGCAUAGUGACGUGAAUUUGAAAAAUCACCC